Molecule: ribosomal RNA, 253 nt
Filed under: uncultured bacterium
Lineage: Bacteria
Description: partial 16S ribosomal RNA
Rfam family: Bacterial small subunit ribosomal RNA
Source: RNAcentral
UACGAGGGGGGCAAGCGUUGUUCGGAAUUAUUGGGCGUAAAGGGCGCGUAGGCUGUGCGGUAAGUCACCUGUGAAAUCUCCGAGCUCAACUCGGAGCCUGCAGGGGAAACUGCCGUGCUGGAGUAUGGGAGAGGUGCGUGGAAUUCCCGGUGUAGAGGUGAAAUGCGUAGAUAUCGGGAGGAACACCUGUGGCGAAGGCGGCGCACUGGACCAUAACUGACGCUGAGGCGCGAUAGCGAGGGGAGCAAACAGG